Molecule: transfer RNA, 61 nt
Filed under: Sedum diffusum
Lineage: Eukaryota; Viridiplantae; Streptophyta; Magnoliopsida; Saxifragales; Crassulaceae
Description: partial tRNA-Phe
Rfam family: tRNA
About the family: Transfer RNA (tRNA) molecules are approximately 80 nucleotides in length.
Source: RNAcentral
GUCGGGAUAGCUCAGCUGGUAGAGCAGAGGACUGAAAAUCCUCGUGUCACCUAGUUCAAAU